This is a long non-coding RNA of Saccostrea cuccullata (small rock oyster), 581 nucleotides long. RefSeq lists it as uncharacterized. Lineage: Eukaryota; Metazoa; Mollusca; Bivalvia; Ostreida; Ostreidae. The record is from RefSeq and is a predicted model, not a curated record. The transcript has 3 exons.
UAUGCAAUUUUCUUGCUGUGCAGAGUAUAGCUGUUUGCAGCUUAUCUAGGUCAAAAUUUGAAUUCAACUGAUGGACAAGAAGUGCGCGUCUCCUUGCUGAUCAUAUUUAAUGUGUUUUCAAGCUAUAUACACAAAGGAUUACGGCUGGAAUAUCAAUUUCUGCUCAUUCGUCGUAAGGUUCAAUCAAGCAGUGGUGCAGGGAAUUGAUUGUAUAGUCAGCCUUGAUUGCAUCAGAUUCUUCGCCCGUGAAAAUUAUUCAAAGGAGUGCAACAUUUUGCUUUUGCUUUAGAGGAUGGAUUCUCUGAGCUGUUCAUUUCUUUCAUUCGUGGGACUUAACUGUAUGCGUGAUUAAAAUCAAGGGAUCCGCCACUUUAUCGAACUUAGUAGUGUAAGGCAGACGCGUACUUUGAAAGACCUGGAUGUGAUUACUGUGACCCACUUUUCACUAGGAAUAUAAAUUUUAGUCAAGCAGAGAUUUUUGUGAUUCAAUGAUUGAUUCCGAAAUUAUGUUUGUCUUAAAAAUACAUGUAAAAUAAAUUCUCUCACAGUCAUAAUACUGGAUUACAACUUAUAUAAAUAUU